UAAUUUCAAACUAGUUGCAGGUGAUACGUUAAUUAAGUUAUUGUUUUGUGAUCUACAUAUCAAAAACGUUUAAGAGAAACGUAAAAGAAUUGAGGACCAUAAGAAGAACAUAAAGAGCCUUGUCUUCAAUUAAAAAAAGCAAUGAUUAAUUCCGCAAUUAUGCUGCGAAAGCAACAACAAUAAAGAGAAGAAGAAGAAGAAGAAGUGCAGCUCGUGUCAUUUGGUAAAUUGCUGCUGUAAAUUGACAUCAGUAUGAAUGAGCACAGCACCAGCUGCAACUACAAUUACAACACAGACACACACAGAGAGAGAGAGACAGAGAGAGGGAGACAGAGAGACGGAGAGAGAGAAAGGGAUACAGAGACACCUCAUCACAUUUGGGAGGCCAUUGUUGAGCGGCGAGUUUAAAAGUGUAUGCUCAGCGAGAUGCGCUUUGAAACCGAUGGGGGCACUCCAUUCGAGGCGAUGCACAGAUAUGAGCCCAUCUCGUUGCGUGAGAUUUUCGUCAGCUUCAGCACUUCACCGCGGUACGAGGAAACUGCAUAGAAUAAAAUAAACAAAAGAGGAAAGCAUCAUCUUUUCACUUUCUCGGAUGUCCUUAUCAAUGUACGACAGGCAAAGGACACACUCAAAAGCUCUACAAUCGUGAU
Long non-coding RNA from Drosophila sulfurigaster albostrigata, 650 nucleotides. RefSeq lists it as uncharacterized. The transcript has 5 exons. Lineage: Eukaryota; Metazoa; Arthropoda; Insecta; Diptera; Drosophilidae. The record is from RefSeq and is a predicted model, not a curated record.